GGGGGCGACACGGAUUUCGACGCGGAUAGCAAAACCCGAGGUGCAUGUCGAGGAUGUAGAUUCCCUCGUUAAUCCAUCUGCAAACUGAUAGUUGCCAACGACGACAACUACGCACUCGCCGCCUAAGAAACGGUAGGGUGCCGCUUCACCGGAGCCGUGUCUGUGCGUCCGGAACCGAAGCGUCGAUUCUCACAGAAUCGCGAUGAAGCUCGUCCGGGGUGGAUUCGCUAAACUCUUACCGGACUCGUCGUUAUACUGCCCUGUCCGUCGGGUGGUAAACGGCUAAAUUUUAAUAGACCGGACUAAACAUGUAGAGCCAAAGGCGGAGGAUCCGCGGACGGGGGUUCGAUUCCCCCCGCCUCCACCA
Non-coding RNA from Thiolapillus brandeum, 367 nucleotides. It matches the Rfam family "transfer-messenger RNA". From Rfam's summary of the family: Bacterial tmRNA, also known as 10Sa RNA or SsrA, is named for its dual tRNA and mRNA-like properties. Its role is to liberate the mRNA from a stalled ribosome. Lineage: Bacteria; Pseudomonadati; Pseudomonadota; Gammaproteobacteria; Chromatiales; Sedimenticolaceae. The record is from Rfam.